CGCAGUGCGGCCCGCCGCCUUAGUCUGGUUGCUAAGCAACCUCCCUCGCCGCUUUUGGUAAGCAAUUCUCCGCCUCUGAGUGUAGGCGACCUUCCGGGAUCGCUAUUCCCAGCCUGCCUGAGAAUUUAGCCAUGUGAUACCUAUUGCUGGAACUGGGCUGGGGACGAGCUAAAUAACUGUCAGUUGAUACCUGUUCCUUGCCGUCUCAUCCUGCGCUUGAUCAUCUCCUAUCUAGUCUGGAACACAGAGGUUCAUUUAAUUGAUUGGCAAGAAUUCAGCUUCAACAUUCAAAGUGUUUUGCUCUGUCCUUGUCUGUGUGCUCCAGGGCUCCAAGUCAAAAUAAAAAAUAUAAAAAGAAGGUUGGAAGACAGUUCAAGGAAAUUGUUCAGGAAAUAGACAAUAGACCUAGGCCUGGACCAAAGAAAAGAGAAGAAAGUUAGAGAUUCAACCCCGAAGUUUUGACCUCUGAAGAAUGAUGUUCCAGAAAAAGGCACUCUUCCGGGAACUUGAGAUCCACGAAUGUGGUGAUGGAGGCCACAAUCAGAGUGUGGCUUCCACGAGCAAAAGAACACCGAAGAUUGCUAACAAACCACCAGAAGCUGGGAGAGAGAGCAGAGAGAGGCACGGAACAGAUUCUUCCUCAGAGCCCUUGGAAGGAACCAACACUGAGGACACCUUGGUCUUGGACUUCUGGCUUCCAGAACUUGAGAGAAUAAGUUUCUCUUAAGUCACCCAGUUUGUGUUUUAUUGAUGCAACCCUGGGAAACGAAUACAGUAUGUCUUUAUUUUCA
Acinonyx jubatus (cheetah) is the source of this 791-nucleotide long non-coding RNA. RefSeq lists it as uncharacterized. The transcript is spliced from 3 exons. NCBI's taxonomy places the organism in Eukaryota, Metazoa, Chordata, Mammalia, Carnivora, Felidae. The record is from RefSeq and is a predicted model, not a curated record.